This 1080-nucleotide ribosomal RNA is filed under the name Cimex sp. RNAcentral's name for it is "SSU rRNA". It matches the Rfam family "Eukaryotic small subunit ribosomal RNA", at positions 14 to 1011 of the family's 1831-position model. Lineage: Eukaryota; Metazoa; Arthropoda; Insecta; Hemiptera; Cimicidae. The record is from RNAcentral.
CUGCAGUAGUCAUAUGCUUGUCUCAAAGCUUAAGCCAUGCAAGUCUCAGUACAGACUAUAUUAAAGUGAAACCGCAAAAGGCUCAGUAAACCAGUUUUAAUUUACUAGAGUUAACUUGACUGUGCUUGGAUAACUGUGGUAAUUCUAGAGCUAAUACAUGCAACAAAGCCGUGACCAUUCGUGGUCAGGGCGCUUUUAUUAGACCAAGACCAAUCGCCCGGCCAGUCCGGGCGUUAAGUUGAGGAACCUAGAUAACACAGCAGAUCGCAUGGUCUUUGUACCGGCGACCUAUCUUUCAAAUGCCUGACUUAUCAACUGACGAUGGUAGACUCUGUGUCUACCAUGGCUGUUACGGGUAACGGGGAAUCAGGGUUCGAUUCCGGAGAGGGAGCCUGAGAAACGGCUACCACAUCCAAGGAAGGCAGCAGGCACGCAAAUUACCCACUCCCGGAACGGGGAGGUAGUGACAAAAAAUAACGAUACGGGACUCGAUAUGAGGCCUCGUAAUCGGAAUGAGUACACUCUAAAUCCUUUAACAAAAAUCUAUUGGAGGGCAAGUCUGGUGCCAGCAGCCGCGGUAAUUCCAGCUCCAAUAGCGUAUAUUAAAGUUGUUGCGGUUAAAAAGCUCGUAGUUGGUUCUGCGUCCCGCGCUGUCGGUACACCGUUUGUCGGUGACACUGGCAUGACGCGGGAUGUCCUGUCGGUGGCGGCGGAGACCAUAUCGCCGUCGGCUAACACCGCGGCGUGUUGGCCUUCUGUCGCCGGCUUUAUCCUACCGCGGUGCUCUUCACUGAGUGUCGAGGUAGGCCGACACGUUUACUUUGAACAAAUUAGAGUGCUUAAAGCAGGCAAAAAUCUCUGCCAGAAUAGUGGUGCAUGGAAUAAUGGAACAGGACCUUGGUUCUAUUCUGUUGGUCUCCGGAACACAAGGUAAUGAUCAAUGUGGACAGGCGGGGGCAUUCGUAUUGCGGCGUUAGAGGUGAAAUUCUUGGAUCGUCGCAAGACGCACUAGAGCGAAAGCAAUUGCCAAGUAUGUCUUAAUUGAUCAAGAACGAAAGUUAGAGGUUCGAAGGCGAUCAA